AUGCAGGCUGUGCACCACAAGAAUAUCAUUGAUAAGGCCAUCUCCACCCAAGUGCCACCUAAAGGAAUGGCUAAGCAGGUUAGAAAACUUACAGGCUUUAUCAAACCCUCCUCUCCCACAGAACAGGUCAGGGCAGCUGUGGAAAAAAACACACAACAGUGGAUGCUAAACAACUUGUGCAUCCUUCAAAACCACUAUCUGAAUCUAAUUGUAGAAUAUAAUCAUCCGCCCUUUAAUGAUACUGCUUUUAAGGUUGCAAUUAAUUGGGCCCAAAAACGAUACCGAACCAAGUUAGCCCACACCACAAUCCGAGCAGCUCGUUCCCUACUGGAGGAUGGCACUGAGUGGCCACAAGUCUCCGGUUCCUCAUCACUUUCCCCGGUGGAGCCACCCAGGGCGGAGGUUCCAGCAGAACUAGAUCUGGAAGACAGGGAGGAAUUCCCACCCCUACCUGAGACCAGAGGAAGUCCUCCUUCCCCCCUGCAGAGGGGGACAGAUGUGACAAGUAGAUUGUGUGGGACCCCGCAACCACAAAACACUGAACAGGAUGGAAUGACAAACCACCAAUCUACACCCAAGGAAAAAGAAGUAAGCCCUACUGCGUCUGUGGAUGAAAGAAGUGGCAAUCCUGGACCAUCCACACCCCUUCCCCCCUUAGCUACCUCCUCCAUUUUACAGAGCAACACUGUUAUGUCACCUCCUUCAGUCCCCUUGCUUCCACAGGUUCCACCUGGUCUCUCAGUCGUCGUCUCCCAACGCUCUCUUCAUUAUAGACCCAAUGAAAGGCAGACGAUAUCGUCACCUUCAUCAGGAGAAGAAUUCACGUCCAGGAUGACACCAUGCAGGGGAAGAAGAAACAGGAGUGAGGGCUAUACAGAAACAAAGAACAGAAACAAACAAAAACACACACAAAGCACCACAUUUCAUCAGUUUUCAGAAACUCCUUACUCUAAUGUAGUAGUGAGGGACUGUAAUCCAUCACUUGUUAUUACGCCUCUGGAAAAUGAGGGAAAUAACCCUUGUCCUUCUGUCCUCCCACAGCGAGAUGUAAGGCCGAGGCCGAGGAGCUAUCCUCACCCCACAUGUCCUAACCUGACUACGCCAACACAAGAGGUGGUGGGAAAACAAAUGAGGACAAAAGGGCCAGAAGUGUACAACUACACAGACCGUAAUGGUAGCUUAAGCCCGUCUGAUCCCACCAAAACCACCUCUAUGGGACAUGUGGAUGUAACUGCCUCGGCCUAUACACACGAUGUAGAUCAGGGAACUAGUGAGAGAGGGAACAUGCCAGUACCAAAUCCAGAAUCCAGAGCUUUAUGCUUACCAAACAUACACAAAGCCAGGAAGGGCAGAAAGAUCUUAGACUGGCACCUAAGAGGUAAGAAAGCCAUUUGGUUCCUAGGUGACUCUAAUCUCGCUCGCAUCCCACCUCAUAACAAGGACAACAUCCAGAUUGACAGCUAUCCUGGGGCUGCAUUUUAUCAUUUCCAACACCUCCUCGACAAAACUCCAGAGCACCCCGCUGUCAAACUGGUGGUCCUGUCAGUGGGAAUAAACAACAGGGAUCAGGACCCACACAAAACAUCCAUCAAGCAAUUACGCCAGAUAUACAGAAGGGCACUGUCUGUUUUUCCUAAUGCCAGGAUUGCAUUUCCUCUUAAAUAA
Long non-coding RNA from Betta splendens (Siamese fighting fish), 1665 nucleotides. NCBI's taxonomy places the organism in Eukaryota, Metazoa, Chordata, Actinopteri, Anabantiformes, Osphronemidae. The record is from Ensembl.